This 253-nucleotide ribosomal RNA is filed under the name uncultured bacterium. Its description in RNAcentral is "partial 16S ribosomal RNA". It matches the Rfam family "Bacterial small subunit ribosomal RNA", at positions 524 to 776 of the family's 1533-position model. The record is from RNAcentral.
GACGAACCGUGCGAACGUUGUUCGGAAUCACUGGGCUUAAAGGACGCGUAGGCGGGCUGUCAAGUCUGGGGUGAAAUGCCGCGGCUCAACCGUGGAACUGCCUUAGAUACUGACGGCCUCGAGGAAGGUAGGGGCAUGCGGAACUGUAGGUGGAGCGGUGAAAUGCGUUGAUAUCUACAGGAACUCCGGUGGCGAAAGCGGCGUGCUGGACCUUUUCUGACGCUGAGGCGCGAAAGCUAGGGGAGCAAACGGG